Long non-coding RNA from Lates calcarifer (barramundi perch), 470 nucleotides. RefSeq lists it as uncharacterized. The transcript is spliced from 3 exons. The record is from RefSeq and is a predicted model, not a curated record. NCBI's taxonomy places the organism in Eukaryota, Metazoa, Chordata, Actinopteri, Centropomidae.
GUUUACAGAGACCUGAGCACUGUGAUCCAGUCAGGACCAGAUCAUCUGAGAGGAGCCUCAUGAUGAGGGAGUCCUGUCACACCUGCACCUGGUUUAGAGCUCAGGAGGUGUGUCCAGGUGAGACUGAAAGUGAGUUGCAGGGUCUGGUCCAGGUCUGGUUCUUACUGGGAGUCUCUGGUGUCGGGCAGCUCUCUGUGGUAUCCCAGUCUGGUAGGAGAUGAGGACGUUGAAGGCGUGGCGAUGGUAACCGGUGUCCCGGACCUCCUGAUCUGCUUCGUUAAAGAUCAUCCCUGCAGACAGACACGGUGUCAGAGAGGCGGGAAAACCAGAGCAGACCCUCACACUCCACAGUAUUUCCACGCUCCCAGCAACACCUGAACACACCACGGCCUCUCACCCAUCUCCGGCGACAGCUCCACUCCCUGAUUGGCCGGCAGAGGCCGACGCCCCGCCCCCCGGUUGGCCAGGCC